CUUGCACCGAGCGGAUGAGUUGCGAACGGGUGAGUAACGCGUAGGUAACCUGCCUCUUAGCGGGGGAUAACUAUUGGAAACGAUAGCUAAUACCGCAUAAAAGUCGAUAUCGCAUGAUAUUGAUUUGAAAGGUGCAAAUGCAUCACUAAGAGAUGGACCUGCGUUGUAUUAGCUAGUUGGUGAGGUAACGGCUCACCAAGGCGACGAUACAUAGCCGACCUGAGAGGGUGAUCGGCCACACUGGGACUGAGACACGGCCCAGACUCCUACGGGAGGCAGCAGUAGGGAAUCUUCGGCAAUGGGGGCAACCCUGACCGAGCAACGCCGCGUGAGUGAAGAAGGUUUUCGGAUCGUAAAGCUCUGUUGUAAGAGAAGAACGAGUGUGAGAGUGGAAAGUUCACGCUGUGACGGUAUCUUACCAGAAAGGGACGGCUAACUACGUGCCAGCAGCCGCGGUAAUACGUAGGUCCCGAGCGUUGUCCGGAUUUAUUGGGCGUAAAGCGAGCGCAGGCGGUUAGAUAAGUCUGAAGUUAAAGGCUGUGGCUUAACCAUAGUACGCUUUGGAAACUGUUUAACUUGAGUGCAGAAGGGGAGAGUGGAAUUCCAUGUGUAGCGGUGAAAUGCGUAGAUAUAUGGAGGAACACCGGUGGCGAAAGCGGCUCUCUGGUCUGUAACUGACGCUGAGGCUCGAAAGCGUGGGGAGCAAACAGGAU
RNAcentral lists this ribosomal RNA (713 nucleotides) under uncultured Streptococcus sp. RNAcentral's name for it is "bacterial SSU rRNA". It matches the Rfam family "Bacterial small subunit ribosomal RNA", at positions 75 to 778 of the family's 1533-position model. The record is from RNAcentral. Lineage: Bacteria; Bacillati; Bacillota; Bacilli; Lactobacillales; Streptococcaceae.